Molecule: ribosomal RNA, 638 nt
Filed under: uncultured Bacteroidales bacterium
Lineage: Bacteria; Pseudomonadati; Bacteroidota; Bacteroidia; Bacteroidales
Description: bacterial SSU rRNA
Rfam family: Bacterial small subunit ribosomal RNA
Source: RNAcentral
GAGUAACACGUAUCCAACCUGCCCUUUACUCGGGGAUAGCCUUUCGAAAGAAAGAUUAAUACCCGAUGGCAUAAUGAUUCCGCAUGGUUUCAUUAUUAAAGGAUUCCGGUAAAGGAUGGGGAUGCGUUCCAUUAGGUUGUUGGUGAGGUAACGGCUCACCAAGCCUUCGAUGGAUAGGGGUUCUGAGAGGAAGGUCCCCCACAUUGGAACUGAGACACGGUCCAAACUCCUACAGGAGGCAGCAGUGGGGAAUAUUGGUCAAUGGGCGCUAGCCUGAACCAGCCAAGUAGCGUGAAGGAUGAAGGCUCUAUGGGUCGUAAACUUCUUUUAUAUAAGAAUAAAGUGCAGUAUGUAUACUGUUUUGUAUGUAUUAUAUGAAUAAGGAUCGGCUAACUCCGUGCCAGCAGCCGCGGUAAUACGGAGGAUCCGAGCGUUAUCCGGAUUUAUUGGGUUUAAAGGGAGCGUAGGUGGACUGGUAAGUCAGUUGUGAAAGUUUGCGGCUCAACCGUAAAAUUGCAGUUGAUACUGUCAGUCUUGAGUACAGUAGAGGUGGGCGGAAUUCGUGGUGUAGCGGUGAAAUGCUUAGAUAUCACGAAGAACUCCGAUUGCGAAGGCAGCUCACUGGACUGCAACUGACA